GAUGAACGCUGGCGGCGUGCCUAAUACAUGCAAGUCGAGCGAACGGACGAGAAGCUUGCUUUUCUGAUGUUAGCGGCGGACGGGUGAGUAACACGUGGAUAGCCUACCUAUAAGACUGGGAUAACUUCGGGAAACCGGAGCUAAUACCGGAUAAUAUUUUGAACCGCAUGGUUCAAAAGUGAAAGACGGUCUUGCUGUCACUUAUAGCUGGAUCCGCGCUGCAUUAGCUAGUUGGUAAGGUAACGGCUUACCAAGGCAACGAUGCAUAGCCGACCUGAGAGGGUGAUCGGCCACACUGGAACUGAGACACGGUCCAGACUCCUACGGGAGGCAGCAGUAGGGAAUCUUCCGCAAUGGGCGAAAGCCUGACGCAGCAACGCCGCGUGAGUGAUGAAGGUCUUCGGAUCGUAAAGCUCUGUUAUUAGGGAAGAACAUAUGUGUAAGUAACUGUGCACAUCUUGACGGUACCUAAUCAGAAAGCCACGGCUAACUACGUG
Molecule: ribosomal RNA, 497 nt
Filed under: uncultured bacterium
Lineage: Bacteria
Description: partial 16S ribosomal RNA
Rfam family: Bacterial small subunit ribosomal RNA
Source: RNAcentral